UUCCCUGUAGCUCAGUUGGUAGAGCAUGGUGUUUGCAAUGCCAGGGUUGUGGGUUCGAUUCCCACAGGGGGCA
This 73-nucleotide transfer RNA is filed under the name Salmo salar (Atlantic salmon). It matches the Rfam family "tRNA". From Rfam's summary of the family: Transfer RNA (tRNA) molecules are approximately 80 nucleotides in length. Their secondary structure includes four short double-helical elements and three loops (D, anti-codon, and T loops). Lineage: Eukaryota; Metazoa; Chordata; Actinopteri; Salmoniformes; Salmonidae. The record is from Rfam by way of RNAcentral.